Armigeres subalbatus is the source of this 1127-nucleotide long non-coding RNA. RefSeq lists it as uncharacterized. The record is from RefSeq and is a predicted model, not a curated record. The transcript is spliced from 4 exons. NCBI's taxonomy places the organism in Eukaryota, Metazoa, Arthropoda, Insecta, Diptera, Culicidae.
GAUUUUCUUGACAAUCGCAACAGAUGGAAAUGAAACGAUUUCCGGUGGGAGAAGUGUGUUGUGGUUAGGCCAGAUUGGACGUUCGCUGGAACAGCUCCGCAGAGCUCGUGGAUUCCGGGCAGCAACGAAGUGCCACGUGAGCGAGCGGUAGGAAUCUCAUAAGAUUCUGGUCCAAAAUAGCGAGUAGUGACCAAUUCAACUCGUACGAACAAGGCCCAGUGAGAAAUCAUCUCACAGAAUUGUCAAAACGAGACACCGGGGAAACCGCAAGGAGGUUUUUGGCAAGUAAGAUUUGGAUCUAGCCGGAGUUGCCACGACAAAGUCGAUCACAUCGAAACGGGAAGGCUCUCGCAAAGAGGGCCUUCUUAUAUGAGUCGCUUUGCAGAACACCAUUCACGUUCCGAGGCGUUCGGUCGAUCCAGCAGCCAUCUUGGCCCCAAAUAUUUUGCAGCAUUCCUCCGCUCUCCGCCAAUCUCGUCAGCAAUUCAGGCCCAGCAAAAUCAAUCUCCUCCACACGACCUCCAAAUACCGAAGAUUCAUCCAAGGCAGUCCGCAUGCAACAUCUCAAGUUAGUGACUGAACGUACAUCGUCUGAGGCAGCGUGCAGUAGGUCGGUGUACGGUAGCAGUGCAUGUGACUACAGCAGCGCGAUCGCAAGUCGUCAACAGCUAAUAGGACGAAAUUGGCACCAUUGGUGCGUUCGAAAUUAAGCGCCCAGCGGGCGGUCUGAGAACGUUUUCCGCUCAGUGAUUCCAGUUCGCGGUCAGAGAAUCGGCGAGAACGAAGUCAACGUCAUCGGCGGGGCCCCGUUCGUCGCAUCGAAAGUGCAUCCGUCGUCAUCAAGAGGUACCUUUAGUUAUAAGUAGAGAUUAAGAUCAACCGUUCAUGAGCUGUGAAUAGAAGAUGUAUAAGCUAAAACCCCAACACUACUAGACAUUAAUUGCCACACAACUAAAUUCAUUCAAUCCACAUUGACUGCCCGAGCACCUCACAAACAGAAAAUUUGCUUAGCCGGGCACGAACAAUCAGAGCAACAGGUCUCGUUCACUCAAUGGCUUUUCUCUCUGUAGAUUGGUGUCUUGUUCAUUUGCUUGACAAUCAUGCAGAAGAAUGACUACAAUAAAACU